RNAcentral lists this ribosomal RNA (473 nucleotides) under uncultured organism. RNAcentral's name for it is "partial 16S ribosomal RNA". It matches the Rfam family "Bacterial small subunit ribosomal RNA", at positions 333 to 797 of the family's 1533-position model. The record is from RNAcentral.
ACACUCCUGCGGGAGGCAGCAGUGGGGAAUAUUGCACAAUGGGCGCAAGCCUGAUGCAGCCAUGCCGCGUGUAUGAAGAAGGCCUUCGGGUUGUAAAGUACUUUCAGCGGGGAGGAAGGCGAUAAGGUUAAUAACCUUGUCGAUUGACGUUACCCGCAGAAGAAGCACCGGCUAACUCCGUGCCAGCAGCCGCGGUAAUACGGAGGGUGCAAGCGUUAAUCGGAAUUACUGGGCGUAAAGCGCACGCAGGCGGUCUGUCAAGUCGGAUGUGAAAUCCCCGGGCUCAACCUGGGAACUGCAUUCGAAACUGGCAGGCUAGAGUCUUGUAGAGGGGGGUAGAAUUCCAGGUGUAGCGGUGAAAUGCGUAGAGAUCUGGAGGAAUACCGGUGGCGAAGGCGGCCCCCUGGACAAAGACUGACGCUCAGGUGCGAAAGCGUGGGGAGCAAACAGGAUUAGAAACCCCAGUAGUCCCA